GCCGGGGUAGCUCAGCCUGGUUAGAGCGCCGGACUCAUAAUCCGGAGGCCGCGGGUUCGAAGCCCGCCCCCGGCA
RNAcentral lists this transfer RNA (75 nucleotides) under archaeon. RNAcentral's name for it is "tRNA-Met". It matches the Rfam family "tRNA". Rfam says of the family: Transfer RNA (tRNA) molecules are approximately 80 nucleotides in length. Their secondary structure includes four short double-helical elements and three loops (D, anti-codon, and T loops). The record is from RNAcentral.